ACUCAUCUGUAGGGAAAUUCUUUGGGCUCCUUGAUGUCUUUAGGGCAGCCAAGUCUGAAAAUUAGACAUGAACUUCCCUAAAGCUUAUUUUGGCUCUCACAAGGGCUGCAAUAGAAUGACAAGCAGCAUGCUGCUUUCUUUAUUGUUUCAGUUCAAGGAUUAUCUACAAAGAGUCACAGUCUUGUGCUUAGCAGUACACAAAAAUAUUCAUUUCCUAGCUAUACAGAAAAGUGAUUGAACUGCAGAUGAUUAACAUAUGUUGUGUUUUUUCUGCUAAUGCCUUCCCGUCUUCUCGUGGUGCACCUUCACAAAUGGCAUCAGAGACUUUGCUUCCAAGGAGCAGUGUCCCCCAGAAACCUGUUAUCAAGGCUAGUGCAGAAAAGUUGCUCUUCCUUGCUAGACUGGCUCCAGAAUCCAAACUCAUAAUUGCUGCAGCAGCCUGACCUAUGCCAGUCAAUGCAUUCCAGCUCCUAGCUAUGUUCAAGAAUUGUUUUUUAAAGGACUCCUCUCCAGGGUAAAUGCAGGCUUUUUUUACUCUGAGCGGUUUUGCUAGGACAAAGAGCCCCUUAACAGCGUUCCUUUAAAUGUGCUUCAGUUUUUUAUAAACAAAUCUGGCUGCCACACUUGAUCAUGAUCAGCAGCAUGGAGAUUUUAUCAGCCUGUGUCUGGCACACAGGUGCUGCUGCUGAUUAGAGCACAGCUGAGAUAGGCUGGGUACUCCAAACUGGUAUUUAAACUACCAAAUUCUUCUCUGUCUUGUUUCUGGCUUUAGAGACAAGUUCUGUAGUGUUUUGUGUUCAGAAUUUUGUUCUGAGACUGAGGCAAAGACUAACUCAAGGCAUUCAACCCUGCUGAAUUGUAGUAAUUCUCUGUUUUGCAAUUUUGAUUGCCUAAUCCUUAGAAGAGCAAAUGUCUUCUCAUAUAAAACAGUGGAUGAUAGAGCCAGAAGGAACUGUUGUGAUAAUUUUUUGUCUGACUUAUUGCAUCACACAGGCCAGAGGAAUUUUUAUAUGAAACUGGGACAAGACUUCAAAGGAGACAAAAAAUCUGAUCUUGAUUUAAUCACCAGAUACAGAGAAUCAGCCGGAAUACUUGGUAAAUUUUCCAGCAGCUAAUUGCUGCCAUUGUUAAACAGCUGUUGUACUGUACUUCAUUUCUCUUCUGUCCCCUUUCAAAUUGGGUCAUUUGGCCUUGUUUCACUCUUGUCUGAUGAACUGACAAUUACUUAACUUACAUUGUAUUCCAUGUCUUUGUCCCUAAAAAUUGUGGUCAAGCUUCUCCCUUAACUUUCUUCUUGGUAAACUAAGCAGUAGACCCCUGAAGUCUCUAACUCUAAGGGAAGUUAUUUUGUUUGUGUAAUUAUUAUCUAUUUUUUCUCAGCUAUUGAUAGAUGUUCAUCCAGUUCUAGGCUCCCCAGCACAAGAGAGAGAUGGAGCUACUGGAACAAGGGCAGCCAAGAGCUGCAAAAAUGAAUAAACUGCUGGAGCAUCUUCCCUAUGAGGAAAGGCUGAGAGAGCUGGGACUGUUCAGCUCAGAGAAGAGAAGCCUCAAGGGGGAACAAAUCAAUGUGUACAGAUGCCUGAAGGGAGGGUGCAAAAAGGACAGAACCAGGAUCUUCUCCGUGGUGCCCAGUGGCAGGACAGAGGUGAUGGGAACAACUGGAAAUGCAUCAGGUUCCCUCUGAAUGUCAGAAAAUGCAUUUUUCCUGUGAGGAUGACCAAGCCUUGGCACAGAUUGCCCAGAGAGGUGGUGGAGUCUCCUUCCUUGGGGAUAAUCAGAUCCUACCUGAGGGUGGUCCAGAGCAGCUGCUGUAGGUGGCCCUGACUGAGUGGGGGGGGGGGAGUUGGACCAGACCAGCUCCAGAGGUCUCUUCUAGAGAGUUCUCAACUCUAUUAUUCAGUAAUUCAGAGUCUUUCUUCCAUGGCAGACUAAGAUUUAGCACAGGAUUCUGUGCAGGUGAAGCAGAAUAAAUACCACCUAUUACAGGUGUAGGAAGUGAAGGCAAAGAGAAGUGAGUUGAGCCACAGAGGAAGGCAGUGUCAGAGCCAGACCUGCUUUACCAAUCCUUGCUCUGGCCACAUUGCAAAUGCACAGGUCUUUGUUUCUUCUGAGAAAAAUGAGACCCACCUGUUUCAAGGAUUUUAUUAGAGAAUUUUUAAAUGUUUUAUCUAUUUAUUUCCAAAUGUGUGGGAAUCUGAAGCAAAGAAGGAUAACAUAACUUAUAUAAUGUCAUUCAGGAGCCCAGCCACACACCUAGCUACACACCUUGUCUUUUUAGAAAAGCAAAGAUCCAUCCAUCCCCUCUUGCUAUCAUGGAGAAUCAGGCUUCCUGAGUAGCAAACUCCAUUUGCAAAAGUACUUUUGAGAUGGGUUAAAACCAAACUGGAUGUAUAAAAUUUCCUCCAAACUAAAAGAACAGCAUUAAAAGAAGAGAAAAAGAACUUUAAAGGCAUUCAGGGAUCACAUUUAACUGAAAUGUUUUUCUGUGCCUAUCAAUUUAUGGUUCUGCAGGUUACUCACAAACCACUGACUUAGCUAAAAAGUAUCUAGUCAGGUGAGUGGCAAAAUUUUUCUCUGAAUGCAAUGUCUCAACAAAACUCCAUAGAUUUAUGCUGAUAUAAACCUCUUGAAAAUUGUGCUUUCUCGGCAGACCUAACAGAGGUUAUGAACAGUACUUCUGAAAUCAGCAUUUAAAUAACAUUUCAAAACCACUAGAAACCUCAUUAUCUUGAAAAUAUUGUUUUAGUGGUCACACAAGUAGUGAAAACAGUGUGAAACAAAUGUGUAGCUUGUAACUGGGAAGAAACAACAGUAUUGCCUCAAUACUUUGUUGAUAAACAUCAGUUAGCCACUAGAUACCAGUACGUUCCCUGAAACUUGGUAAGGUAAGAGUAAUCCAGAGGUAAAUAUCCACCCUGUUUAAUGGGAGUUUCUUUCUGAACUUGCCAGAGGUCAUGAUAAAUACAGCUCUUAACAAUACAAGUGAUGCUUUGCUGUUACCCAGGUUUAUCUAGAAAAGCAUAGCUAAUCCUGUAACCAUCAUUAAAUAGAAUUGCAUUUUCCAUUUUAAUUCUGGAAGUGUAAUUCUCAGUCCCUUCAGAAGUGCAUGUCCUCGUGUACAUGUGCAGAUGUUGCUUUUGUAAAUUCUCCCUGACCACAGCUAUGCCAAUCUACAGGAAAGCAGUUCUUUCAAUGUGUGUUUUAAAUGGCUGCUGCCAUUCAUGAAGAAAAGCAAAGUGUGAGGGGCUGUAGCCUGGCCUGGGGAAGGGUAGGGACCUGUGGCCUCUCUUUUCAUGCCCUGUCCAUCGUGGUGAGUGGUCACCAGUGAUUAGAGCAAAGUGGUGCCUUAAACAAGUGAAAAUGUGGAGCUGGGGUAGGAAAGGGGCUGGGGAUUGCAUUUAUGUUGUUGAAGCACAAGUACAAUUUCUGUUCUCCUCGGGUAGAUGCCAAGGGGCUGGCAGGGUUUUGCUGAUGGGUUUUGCAGUGCUCUUGGUCAGUGAAGCACUUCAGCCCUGGAGAAUCACUCCCAGUGGGGCAGGGCUCCUCUCCCUGGGAAACCUGGAAGGUCAUACAGCCUGGGUUUUGGGGAAGUGUCUCCCAUUUGUCCUCCUCACUUCUUUGAAAAGACAUUUCCAUAUUUUGUAACUGACAUUUUCUGUGCCAUUUUCUUCUUUCCUGGGGUCAGAUGGUGACUCCUAACCUAUCCCCUCCUACCUACCCCAGGCUCUUUACUCUGGAUAAAGAGUUUCUGUGAGAAGUCAUUCUUUAAAGUCAAUGAGCUCCCACAGACUUGGCAAAAAUGUUUAGAUCUUAUUUGUUCCACUUUUUAUUUAUUUACCCUCACAGCUAGGUCUUUUAUUAAUUCUUUGUUUUGCCUGUCUCCUUUGCCAGUUUCUGUAGGCUGCAUUUUGUUGGUUUUUUUCCUUUUUUCCCCUUCAGUAUAAAGCAGCAUGAUUCAUUGUAUUUCCUUGGUGAUCUCUCCUGGUCCCUCACCCCAUGUUCUCCACUGAUCAGACCCAUUGGUGAUUAGAUGCUCAGCAGAAGUGAUUUUGCAGCCUUUGACACCUUGCAUCCCCUGCUGCCUGGAUUUCAAAGAGAAAAACAACUUCUGGAUUACCUCACAUGCACUGGCAACAUAAGUAGCAACAGAUUUCCAGAUGAAGAAGCUUGUGUGGAACAUUAAAUGGUUCCAGACAUUGGAAGAUUUCACAGCAAUAGGAGGUCCACAAUUCAAUGGACUUAGCAGCAAAGCUAUGGGCAAGCACUGGACAUAGCUCAUGCCUGAUUGAUUGCAAUGGAAAAUAUGUGGGGACACUUCUGAUUGAGAUUAGGAGAAGCUGGGAGAAAAACUGGGGACAUUGAGUCAAACUGUUGCCAGAAAAAAAGUCCAGCAAGAACUGGAAGGGACAAUCAGAAAAAACUUGCUACUAAUUGUCUUAAACUUUUAGGAUAGGUAGGGAAAUGCAUCAGAAGACGCUGAAGUUUUUUUAUUGUUUUUAUCAGGAGUAACAAGAGGGAACAUUUUUACUCUGUCAUACUCAUAGCUGGCUAAACUCACAGCGCCUAAGGCAGUUCUGUUUUUACUUUUCAGUUGUGUUGUACAGAUCACAUGCUCAUGAAAAGUGAACUGUCAGAGUGGGUAUUGAACAAAAGCACAGCUCCUUGGGUAAACUGGCCUUGAACCUUUGUCAUAGACAAAAUAGGUACAGCGGAAGUAUUUGAGAUAUGAAGCCCCUGCUGGGACACAAGUGGGCUACAGCAGAAUGACAAAAAUCUGAGGAACUUAAAUGGUUUCUGAAGAAGCCUGUGGCUGAGCUACCUGCACUAGAGGUAAAUGGCAAUGCUUCUGUGAGAUACAUAUGGAUUUAUUUAAUUGAGACAGAUCUUGAAUUCUUAAUCCUAAAUUAUUUACCCAGAGCUCUUACCUCCCUCUGUCAGAGAGAGAUAGAUUAAACCAACUUGAAAAAGAAGGUACAUACUGUUUCUGAUGUGAGAAUUAAUGAAAA
Molecule: non-coding RNA, 5006 nt
Organism: Taeniopygia guttata (zebra finch)
Lineage: Eukaryota; Metazoa; Chordata; Aves; Passeriformes; Estrildidae
Source: RefSeq, a predicted model, not a curated record